UACAGAGGGUGCGAGCGUUGUUCGGAAUUACUGGGCGUAAAGGGCUCGUAGGCGGCCAACUAAGUCGGACGUGAAAUCCCCAGGCUCAACCUGGGAACUGCGUCCGAUACUGGAUGGCUUGAAUCCGGGAGAGGGAUGCAGAAUUCCAGGUGUAGCGGUGAAAUGCGUAGAUAUCUGGAGGAAUACCGGUGGCGAAGGCGGCAUCCUGGACCGGCAUUGACGCUGAGGAGCGAAAGCCAGGGGAGCAAACGGG
This 253-nucleotide ribosomal RNA is filed under the name uncultured bacterium. RNAcentral describes it as "partial 16S ribosomal RNA". It matches the Rfam family "Bacterial small subunit ribosomal RNA", at positions 524 to 776 of the family's 1533-position model. The record is from RNAcentral.